GAUGAACGCUGGCGGCGUGCUUAACACAUGCAAGUCGAACGGAAAGGCUCCUGCUUGCCGGGGUACUCGAGUGGCGAACGGGUGAGUAACACGUGGGUGAUCUGCCCUGCACUUCGGGAUAAGCCUGGGAAACUGGGUCUAAUACCGGAUAGGACCACAUUUUGGAUGGUGUGGUGGAAAGUUUUUCGGUGUGGGAUGAGCUCGCGGCCUAUCAGCUUGUUGGUGGGGUAAUGGCCUACCAAGGCGUCGACGGGUAGCCGGCCUGAGAGGGUGUACGGCCACAUUGGGACUGGGAUACGGCCCAGACUCCUACGGGGGGCAGCAGUGGGGAAUAUUGCACAAUGGGCGCGAGCCUGAUGCAGCGACGCCGCGUGGGGGAUGACGGCCUUCGGGUUGUAAACUCCUUUCGCUAGGGACGAAGCGUUUUUGUGACGGUACCUGGAGAAGAAGCACCGGCUAACUACGUG
Molecule: ribosomal RNA, 467 nt
Filed under: uncultured bacterium
Lineage: Bacteria
Description: partial 16S ribosomal RNA
Rfam family: Bacterial small subunit ribosomal RNA
Source: RNAcentral